UUUCAUUCCACUAUUAUGUGAUCUUCUUUCAACUCGAGAUUCUGCAUUUCACUCUGAGCUAUUCUUUGCUAAUGGAGUAAGGUUAGCCUAAGUUUUGACAGUAUAUGAUGCGAGAAUAAUUUUGAUUAUUUAUGUUUGUACGUUCAUACAAUAUUCAAUCAUCUUAACUUCAACAAAUAAGCUAACAUAUGACUUUCCACAUUGAUCAAUUUGAGAAACUUGUUUAUUCUUAUGUGUAUAAUUCUUCACUCAGAGCUUGAUUUAAUAAUAUUGAUAUUUUCUUACAAUGAAGGGUAGCCUUGGAGUAACUGGUAAAGUUGCUGUCAUGUGGCCAGGAGGUCACGGAUUCAAGCCUUGGAAACAGCCUUUGGCAGAAAUGCAAGGUAAGACUGCGUACGAUAUACCCUUGUGGUGAGGCCCUUCUCCGG
Molecule: long non-coding RNA, 428 nt
Filed under: Capsicum annuum
Lineage: Eukaryota; Viridiplantae; Streptophyta; Magnoliopsida; Solanales; Solanaceae
Description: long non-coding RNA (CANN_LNC014800)
Source: RNAcentral